Molecule: ribosomal RNA, 1298 nt
Filed under: Salmonella enterica subsp. enterica serovar Derby
Lineage: Bacteria; Pseudomonadati; Pseudomonadota; Gammaproteobacteria; Enterobacterales; Enterobacteriaceae
Also listed under: 1 other name
Description: partial 23S ribosomal RNA
Rfam family: Bacterial large subunit ribosomal RNA
Source: RNAcentral
GUGUGUUCCAGGUAAAUCCGGUUCACUUUAACACUGAGGCGUGAUGACGAGGCACUACGGUGCUGAAGCAACAAAUGCCCUGCUUCCAGGAAAAGCCUCUAAGCAUCAGGUAACAUCAAAUCGUACCCCAAACCGACACAGGUGGUCAGGUAGAGAAUACCAAGGCGCUUGAGAGAACUCGGGUGAAGGAACUAGGCAAAAUGGUGCCGUAACUUCGGGAGAAGGCACGCUGACACGUAGGUGAAGUGAUUUACUCAUGGAGCUGAAGUCAGUCGAAGAUACCAGCUGGCUGCAACUGUUUAUUAAAAACACAGCACUGUGCAAACACGAAAGUGGACGUAUACGGUGUGACGCCUGCCCGGUGCCGGAAGGUUAAUUGAUGGGGUCAGCGCAAGCGAAGCUCCUGAUCGAAGCCCCGGUAAACGGCGGCCGUAACUAUAACGGUCCUAAGGUAGCGAAAUUCCUUGUCGGGUAAGUUCCGACCUGCACGAAUGGCGUAAUGAUGGCCAGGCUGUCUCCACCCGAGACUCAGUGAAAUUGAACUCGCUGUGAAGAUGCAGUGUACCCGCGGCAAGACGGAAAGACCCCGUGAACCUUUACUAUAGCUUGACACUGAACAUUGAGCCUUGAUGUGUAGGAUAGGUGGGAGGCUUUGAAGCGUGGACGCCAGUCUGCGUGGAGCCGACCUUGAAAUACCACCCUUUAAUGUUUGAUGUUCUAACGUGGACCCGUAAUCCGGGUUGCGGACAGUGUCUGGUGGGUAGUUUGACUGGGGCGGUCUCCUCCUAAAGAGUAACGGAGGAGCACGAAGGUUGGCUAAUCCUGGUCGGACAUCAGGAGGUUAGUGCAAUGGCAUAAGCCAGCUUGACUGCGAGCGUGACGGCGCGAGCAGGUGCGAAAGCAGGUCAUAGUGAUCCGGUGGUUCUGAAUGGAAGGGCCAUCGCUCAACGGAUAAAAGGUACUCCGGGGAUAACAGGCUGAUACCGCCCAAGAGUUCAUAUCGACGGCGGUGUUUGGCACCUCGAUGUCGGCUCAUCACAUCCUGGGGCUGAAGUAGGUCCCAAGGGUAUGGCUGUUCGCCAUUUAAAGUGGUACGCGAGCUGGGUUUAGAACGUCGUGAGACAGUUCGGUCCCUAUCUGCCGUGGGCGCUGGAGAACUGAGGGGGGCUGCUCCUAGUACGAGAGGACCGGAGUGGACGCAUCACUGGUGUUCGGGUUGUCAUGCCAAUGGCACUGCCCGGUAGCUAAAUGCGGAAGAGAUAAGUGCUGAAAGCAUCUAAGCACGAAACUUGCCCCGA